GACGAACCGUGCGAACGUUGUUCGGAAUCACUGGGCUUAAAGGGCGCGUAGGCGGAUCAGCAAGUCCGGGUUGAAAUCCUUCGGCUUAACCGAAGAACUGGCUUGGAUACUGUUGAUCUCGAGGGAGGCAGGGGCAGUUGGAACUUCCGGUGGAGCGGUGAAAUGCGUUGAUAUCGGAAGGAACGCCGGUGGCGAAAGCGAACUGCUGGACCUCUACUGACGCUGAGGCGCGAAAGCCAGGGGAGCAAACGGG
This 253-nucleotide ribosomal RNA is filed under the name uncultured bacterium. RNAcentral describes it as "partial 16S ribosomal RNA". It matches the Rfam family "Bacterial small subunit ribosomal RNA", at positions 524 to 776 of the family's 1533-position model. The record is from RNAcentral.